This 497-nucleotide ribosomal RNA is filed under the name uncultured bacterium. RNAcentral describes it as "partial 16S ribosomal RNA". It matches the Rfam family "Bacterial small subunit ribosomal RNA", at positions 28 to 507 of the family's 1533-position model. The record is from RNAcentral.
GAUGAACGCUGGCGGCGUGCCUAAUACAUGCAAGUCGAGCGAACGGACGAGAAGCUUGCUUCUCUGAUGUUAGCGGCGGACGGGUGAGUAACACGUGGAUAACCUACCUAUAAGACUGGGAUAACUUCGGGAAACCGGAGCUAAUACCGGAUAAUAUUUUGAACCGCAUGGUUCAAAAGUGAAAGACGGUCUUGCUGUCACUUAUAGAUGGAUCCGCGCUGCAUUAGCUAGUUGGUAAGGUAACGGCUUACCAAGGCAACGAUGCAUAGCCGACCUGAGAGGGGGAUCGGCCACACUGGAACUGAGACACGGUCCAGACUCCUACGGGGGGCAGCAGUAGGGAAUCUUCCGCAAUGGGCGAAAGCCUGACGGAGCAACGCCGCGUGAGUGAUGAAGGUCUUCGGAUCGUAAAACUCUGUUAUUAGGGAAGAACAUAUGUGUAAGUAACUGUGCACAUCUUGACGGUACCUAAUCAGAAAGCCACGGCUAACCACGUG